GUAGGUGGCAAGCGUUGUCCGGAAUUAUGGGGCGUAAAGCGCGCGCAGGCGGUUCUUUAAGUCUGAUGUGAAAGCCCACGGCUCAACCGUGGAGGGUCAUUGGAAACUGGAGAACUUGAGUACAGAAGAGGAAAGCGGAAUUCCACGUGUAGCGGUGAAAUGCGUAGAGAUGUGGAGGAACACCAGUGGCGAAGGCGGCUUUCUGGUCUGUAACUGACGCUGAGGCGCGAAAGCGUGGGGAGCAAACAGGGAUUAGAUACCCUGGUAGUCCACGCCGUAAACGAUGAGUGCUAAGUGUUAGGGGGUUUCCGCCCCCUUAGUGCUGCAGCUAACGCAUUAAGCACUCCGCCUGGGGAUACGGCCGCAAGGCUG
RNAcentral lists this ribosomal RNA (372 nucleotides) under uncultured organism. RNAcentral describes it as "partial 16S ribosomal RNA". It matches the Rfam family "Bacterial small subunit ribosomal RNA", at positions 527 to 896 of the family's 1533-position model. The record is from RNAcentral.